Molecule: ribosomal RNA, 500 nt
Filed under: uncultured bacterium
Lineage: Bacteria
Description: bacterial SSU rRNA
Rfam family: Bacterial small subunit ribosomal RNA
Source: RNAcentral
GAUGAACGCUAGCGGCAGGCUUAAUACAUGCAAGUCGAGGGGCAGCACGGUUAGCAAUAACUGGUGGCGACCGGCGCACGGGUGCGUAACACGUAUACAAUCUACCUUAAACAGGGGGAUAGCCUUUCGAAAGAGAGAUUAAUACCCCGUAGUAAAUUGAACGGCAUCGUUUGAUUUUGAAAGCUCCGGCGGUUUGAGAUGAGUAUGCGUCUGAUUAGCUAGUUGGUGAGGUAACGGCUCACCAAGGCGACGAUCAGUAGGGGAUCUGAGAGGACUAACCCCCACACUGGUACUGAGACACGGACCAGACUCCUACGGGAGGCAGCAGUAAGGAAUAUUGGUCAAUGGAGGCAACUCUGGACCAGCCAUGCCGCGUGCAGGAUGACGGCCCUAUGGGUUGUAAACUGCUUUUAUACAAGAGAAAACCCUGGUACGUGUACCAGGUUGAUAGUAUUGUAAGAAUAAGCAUCGGCUAACUUCGUGCCAGCAGCCGCGGUAAU